This 57-nucleotide microRNA precursor is filed under the name Triops cancriformis. Its description in RNAcentral is "microRNA tcf-mir-137 precursor". Its record names the gene tcf-mir-137. Lineage: Eukaryota; Metazoa; Arthropoda; Branchiopoda; Notostraca; Triopsidae. The record is from miRBase by way of RNAcentral.
GCGUAUUCUUAAGUGAUUAGCACGCAUUUUAAGUUGUUAUUGCUUGAGAAUACACGU